This 1104-nucleotide long non-coding RNA is filed under the name Homo sapiens (human). RNAcentral's name for it is "HSALNT0123523". The record is from RNAcentral. Lineage: Eukaryota; Metazoa; Chordata; Mammalia; Primates; Hominidae.
UUCUGAAGUGUUAUAUUAAGAAUAUCUUUCUGGGGCAACCCCCUUUGGGUCCCCUCCCUUUGUAUGGGAGCUCUGUUUUCACUCUGUUUCACUCUAUUAAAUCUUGCACUGCGCUCUUCUGGUCCAUGUUUGUUAACGGCUAGAGCUGAGCUUUCGCUGGCUGUCCACCACUGCUGUUUGCCACUGUCGCAGACCUGCCGCUGACUCCCAUCCCGCCACUGACUCCCAUCCCUCCAGAUCCGGCAGGGUGUCCGCUGUGCUCCGGAUCCAACGAGACUCCCAUUGCCACUCCCGAUCGUGCUGAAGGCUGCCAUUGUUCCUGCAGGGCUAAGUGCCUGGGUUCGUCCUAAUCGAGCUGAACACUAGUCACUGGGUUCCACUGUUCUCUUCUGUGACCCACAGCUUCUAAUAGAGCUAUAACACUGCAUGGCUCAAGAUUCCAUUCCUUGGAAUCCAUGAGGCCAAGAAUCCCAGGUCAGAGAACAUAAGGCUUGCCACCAUCUUGGAAGCCACCCGCCACCAUCUUAGAAGUGGCUCACCACCAUCUUGGGAGCGCUGUGAACAAGGACCCCCGAUUCUGAGAACUCGAUAGACUGGAUUAAGAAAAUGUGGCACAUAUACACCAUGGAAUACUAUGCAGCCACAAAAAAAGAUGAGUUCAUGUCCUUUGCAGGGACAUGGAUGAAGCUGGAAACCAUCAAGCUCAGCAAACUAUUACAAGGGCAGAAAACCAAACACCGCAUGUUCUCACUCAUAGGUGGGAAUUGAACAAUGAGAUCACUUGGACACAGGGCAGGGAAUAUUACACACCAGGGCCUGUCACGGGGGGAGGGGCUGGGGGAGGGAUAACAUUAGGAGAAAUACCUAAUGUAAAUGAUAAGUUGAUGGGUGCAGCAAACUAACAUGGCACAUAUAUACCUAUGUAUCAAACCUGCAUGUUGUGCACAUGUACCCUAGAACUUAAAGUAUAAUAAAAAAAAAUUCUGAGAACUUAUUUGCUUGUAUAUGUCAUAAUUUAUCAUUUAGAUCUCACGUUUUGGAGAUCUUUUUUUAUAAAUAUAUGCAGUCUGUAUAUUUUAUUUGUUUGUUCUCCUUGACCUGGCA